UGCACCCAGCCGAGCCAGUUGUUAAACAUCUACCCAACACACCCUGAUUCUGGUUCUAGUGGAAGUUCCACCAUAUCUAGCCAUGGGUCCUUGGAUGUGGAAACAGUGGCAAUGAACUUCACCUCUACAUGCCUGAUUUUCUCACCUGCAAAGUGGAGAUUCAACCAAAUCUACCUCAUAAGGAUGGCAGCAGCAAUUCCAAGAACAACAACAGCAAGAAGAAUAAGAGAGAUCAUCUUUUCCUGGGGCUCUCUCUUAGAAAGAAGGGAAAAGGAAUGCUGGCAAUUCAUUGUGCAGGAAGAGAUAUACAAAGUCCAAGCAGGUUAGGUACCAAAAAGUGACAUUUCUGUCUUGGUAGCCGCUGUGACCUAUUGAUAAACAGAGCAAUUGAUAAACACCAAUUAGAUGCCCUGAAUCAUUCCCAGCAGCUAUCAGUGAAAUUAACACCAGCAACAAUGAAAGCAAAGAAUGUUCCUGCGCCUCAGAUUGGGAAGAGGGGCAGCUGUUAAACUCACAUCUUCUCAUGGAGACUCAUUAUGCACAUGAAUAUAUGAGAAGCUCUGUGCAGUCUUGUAGGAAGAAAACUGUUUAACUGUUUCACCCAAUGUUUUCCAAGUCCAUUUGAUAACAGAAGCCAUUUUUCAUCUAACACCUGUUAGCAUCCUGUGGAACUAGUGUUAUGAAAGACACAUCUUAAGAAAAACCCAUCUACCUCAACCUCAGAAGUUUCAGAAAAUUGUGCAUCUUUUCCUGUUCUUUCAUUUUA
This is a long non-coding RNA of Homo sapiens (human), 766 nucleotides long. RefSeq lists it as uncharacterized. The transcript is spliced from 4 exons. NCBI's taxonomy places the organism in Eukaryota, Metazoa, Chordata, Mammalia, Primates, Hominidae. The record is from RefSeq and is a predicted model, not a curated record.